RNAcentral lists this ribosomal RNA (430 nucleotides) under Pseudomonadota bacterium. RNAcentral's name for it is "Proteobacteria bacterium partial 16S ribosomal RNA". It matches the Rfam family "Bacterial small subunit ribosomal RNA", at positions 355 to 776 of the family's 1533-position model. Lineage: Bacteria; Pseudomonadati; Pseudomonadota. The record is from RNAcentral.
UGGGGAAUAUUGGACAAUGGGGGGAACCCUGAUCCAGCCAUGCCGCGUGUGUGAAGAAGGCCUUAUGGUUGUAAAGCACUUUAAGCGAGGAGGAGGGUACUGGUAUUAAUACUACCAGGUACUGGACGUUACUCGCAGAAUAAGCACCGGCUAACUCUGUGCCAGCAGCCGCGGUAAUACAGAGGGUGCGAGCGUUAAUCGGAUUUACUGGGCGUAAAGCGUGCGUAGGCGGCUAAUUGAGUCGGAUGUGAAAUCCCCGAGCUUAAGUUGGGAAUUGCAUUGGAUACUGGUUAGAUAGAGUGUGGGAGAUGAGGGUAGAAUUCCAGGUGUAGCGGUGAAAUGCGUAGAGAUCUGGAGGAAUACCGAUGGCGAAGGCAGCCAUCUGGCAUAACACUGACGCUGAGGUACGAAAGAAUGGGGAGCAAACAGG